UGACACACCUACUCCGCGUACUGGCGGCUCAGCUUAGCGUGUUUCUUGUUUCUCUGCAUCCGCGUCGGACGGCGCAGCCCUCCCCUUUUUUUCGCUUCGCGUAUCUCUCCUUCGUCUCUUGCCAGAAACGCACUGUCUCACCGGCAAUGCAAGUGGAGGGCAACUGGAAGGCUGCGGCCAACUUGAAUCUUCUUCUCGGUCUCGAGCACCCGCCAGCGCGGCUGGAGAAGCCACUGCUUAUGCCACAGCAGCGCAGCGCUGGCAGCUCUGCCCUUGUCACGGUGGAGGCACGCAACACCGCCAACUUCAGGAGCUCCUCCUACUGCGGCCUCCAAGACAAGUCCGCGCCGACGAUUCGAAGGCACGUGAUCGACUACUACAAGGAGAUGCUACACCGCGUGCCUCUCUGGCGAGGGCUCGCGAAGACACAGCAGGAAGGCAGCUGCCGGGGUACAGUGGUGAAGUCAGAGCUGGAAGAUGAUGAUGAUGCUGACGGAAUGGUCCCUCUGGCAGGAGGUGCGCCGCUUGCCUCCGGCGGGUCAUUGCUCCGUGCUGUUGGCAUCCUGACGCGAGUGCAGGAUGCGUCGGCGGUGAGUGCGGUCACCCAGCAAGCACCGUGGGAGUUCUACGUGGUGCGGGACGUGGAUGACGACGAGUGCUACGUUCGUGCUCUGCAGGCAUUGGCGCAGGCGGAUCGAACGGCAGACGCGUCGUUUGCUCUCCUGCAAGAUGCAUCGCACGCCGGCUUCUGCGCGCGAGCCUCAGGUAGGAUGGAGAGCAGCACCGCCCGGUCCUCCACAGGGGUGGCAACGACAUCGGCGAUUGGUGAGGCCGGGGAGGAAACGCCAGGGACGGCCGCCGAGGCUGACGAGGAGGCGGCGGCCUGUGAUGGCACUCGCCUUUCGCUCUACACGCGACAGGCUUCAUGGUUUACAGGCCUUCAUCCCGGUAUGGCUGUCGGCAUCAUCGGCGACCCGUUUCAGCGCAGUGCCCGCGGCGUUCUCACGGGCGUACUGGUGCGCGAGUUCGUCCUGCCAUCGCGGCCGACGUUGCCAUGGCGAGUGGACCGGCCACUGCUGUCUGCGGCCGUGACAUCAACUUCGGGUGCCGGCGCCCUCGCCGAUGGCAGCGGCGCUGGCGUGCGCAUCCACUUUUGCAGUGGGCCGUUCCCACGGCGCGACGUGUCGGGGCUGCUGCGCACGGUGACCACCCAAGCGCUGCACCGCGGCGCGGAUGUGCUGAUUAUUGGUGGCCCUUUUAUUCUCCCCUUCGCCAGCGACUUUGAGCGCGAGUUGCUGCCGUCGCUAGGCGCCACCUUCAACGAGGUGAUGGAGAGUUUUGUGGACACGUUGGAGGAGACGCUGAAGAAUUACUACUCUACGCGGCCGCUUCUGCCACACAUGAAGGUGCUGCUCGUGUCGCACAGGGGUGACGUCACCCAAAUCCCUGUGCUGCCCACCACCAUGUACGCGAUCGCGGACACAGACGACAUCCUCAUUCGCUCGAACCCGUGUCGGCUGUCGGUUAAUGGGGUGCACAUCAGCGUAUGCAACGAGGAUGUCGUGGGCGACAUGCGUGAGCGCAUGGUGGAGCGGUGGCCGACCGCCGAGGGUAGCCUGCGACGUGUCGUAGAGACCUUGGUGAACGGCCGCCUGUAUGUCCCGCUCUACAGUAUACCUGUGAUGACGGCAGAUCUAAAGCAUCUCCCUCACUUGCGAAUGGACUACGUGCCGUCGCAGAACGAGCUGCUCGAGAUCACGCCGGCUGCUGCUGCGUUGACAGGCCGCUCUGCUGCAAACGACAGUCGCCGUGGCGAUGCCGACGGCGGUGAUGCCACCAUGAGUACGCCGAGCGCCAGCUCCUCACGUGGUUGGGAGGCUGUGUUUAAUGUCGCGGAACAGCCGUCCACCGACCUGGCGGGGUCGCUGCAGCACAAGGUGAAGCGGGUGAAGCUGGAGGAUGCAGCCGGUGACAAUGAGGAGGGGGAUGCGGCGACCGCACCUGGCAGCCCGUUGGCUGCAUCAACGCCGACGGCCUCAUCGAAGAUGGAGUACCUGCCUCACAUUAUGUUCCUCCCCUCUACCCGCCCACAGUUUGCUACCGUCACGCACCAAAGCGAGGAGGUCGACGGCGCCGACAUCGACUGCGCGGAAAGCGCCUCUGGCGUCCUGGUGGUGAACCAGGAGAUUUGGUCGACGCGCUCGUCGCCAAAAUUUGAGCUCCGCGUGGCAGAGGUGACGAUUCCGAAUACGGACCUCGUGUUGCGGCGCGGCGCCACUUCCACAAACGGCGUCGCGUGCGGUGUCCUGCACAUCUACAGCGCAUAGAUCCUUGGCAAAGGGAAGGGAACGUGGGCAGGCACUGCAGAAGCGCGCGGUCGCUCUCCGCGGCGUGCACCCCUCCUUGCCCGUCAACUCUCACUGGAGUCUGACAGACUACGCCUGCUUUCGUAUCUUGUUUUCGCCGGUUUAUCGAGGAAAAUGUGAUGGAAAGGUACCAUAGAGAAUAUGUGCGCCUUGCGCGUGCCACUUACGAAUCGGUGUCGUGGUGAAUGUCGCUGUGCGCGGGACUGGGUCGGCGGGCGUUUAUGAUGAGCUAGCGGUCAACGAAAGCCGUGCAUGACGUGCGUGUCUCUCCCUCUCUGUAAAAGUCGUCGGCCUUUUUCCAGCCUAGCAGAAGCACACGCACGACACAAGUUGAACCAAAAGG
Molecule: unclassified non-coding RNA, 2709 nt
Filed under: Leishmania donovani
Lineage: Eukaryota; Euglenozoa; Kinetoplastea; Trypanosomatida; Trypanosomatidae
Description: gene:LdHU3.32.2290(CDS-product:DNA_polymerase_alp ha/epsilon_subunit_B_putative)
Source: RNAcentral